Molecule: ribosomal RNA, 207 nt
Filed under: uncultured bacterium
Lineage: Bacteria
Description: partial 16S ribosomal RNA
Rfam family: Bacterial small subunit ribosomal RNA
Source: RNAcentral
CGCGUAGGCGGAGGACCAAGUCCGGGGUGAAAUCUUUCGGCUCAACCGGAAAACUGCCUUGGAUACUGGUCUUCUUGAGGGAGGUAGGGGCAGGUGGAACUUCCGGUGGAGCGGUGAAAUGCGUUGAUAUCGGAAGGAACGCCGGUGGCGAAAGCGGCCUGCUGGAUCUCUUCUGACGCUGAGGCGCGAAAGCUAGGGUAGAGGACG